This 220-nucleotide ribosomal RNA is filed under the name uncultured bacterium. RNAcentral describes it as "partial 16S ribosomal RNA". It matches the Rfam family "Bacterial small subunit ribosomal RNA", at positions 28 to 245 of the family's 1533-position model. The record is from RNAcentral.
GAUUAACGCUAGCGGCAGGCCUAAUACAUGCAAGUUGUACGGGAUUAUUGGUAGCAAUACUGAUAUGAGAGUAGCGCACGGGUGCGUAACACGUAUGCAACCUACCUUUAACUGGGGAAUAGCUCACCGAAAGGUGAAUUAACGCCGCAUAAAAUCACAGAAGGACAUCCUUUAAUGAUUAAAUCUCCGGAGGUUAAAGAUGGGCAUGCGUCCGAUUAGC